CUUGAAACAAUGCUGUGUGUCCAAGUCCCACCACUUUACAAAACUGUCCUUGGAACUGAGGAAACAUACGUAAAAACGGAGAUGUUGCUUUCACCGUUGAGCAGAUUAAAGAUGCGCACACCUCCAUCCUCAUAACCCACCGCUAUGUGAACGCCAUCAGGAGAAGGACACAGGCCUGUGCGUUUUCUACACGGAUCGACGACAUAGCCACUGCCCCUAC
Long non-coding RNA from Sinocyclocheilus grahami, 220 nucleotides. RefSeq lists it as uncharacterized. The record is from RefSeq and is a predicted model, not a curated record. The transcript has 3 exons. NCBI's taxonomy places the organism in Eukaryota, Metazoa, Chordata, Actinopteri, Cypriniformes, Cyprinidae.